RNAcentral lists this ribosomal RNA (654 nucleotides) under Triticum aestivum (bread wheat). RNAcentral's name for it is "partial small subunit ribosomal RNA". Lineage: Eukaryota; Viridiplantae; Streptophyta; Magnoliopsida; Poales; Poaceae. The record is from RNAcentral.
AUGGCCGGCACCACGGUGCUCCCGCCGUCUCUGCUCCCGCGCCGUAGCGCCGCUGCCGCCGCCGACCUGCACUCCUGCUCCUCCCGCGUGCGCGUGAACCCCGCCUUGAUGGCGAACCCCGCGGCUGCCAAGAGGACAAAGCGCCCCGGAUCCGUGCGCAGCGAGCAACCGCCGCCGGCGAAGCGCGUACGCGGUGCCUGCUCCGGGGGCGAGCUCCAUGCCGCGGUCCCCGCCAACAUCAAGGGUAGCAGCAAGCUUCCGUGUCCCAGCAGCGGCAAGGAUCCGCUCCACUCCUCCGGGAUCAAGAACCAGGUCGCCGAAUCUCCGGCGAGCGCGACGCAGUCGAAGCCGCCGAUCAGCAUGCGCCAACUGAUUGAGAAUGCUCGCCUCGUCAUGGAUUGGGCUCACCCUGCCGCCGAAGAAGAGGCCAGCCGUCGGCGGGACAUCGAGCGCAGCAGAGCGGAGCCCCGGCGAAAGGUGGAGCAGAUGGCGGACACGGUGCAGUUCAACGACCCCUGGAUCCAUUACUCCGACGUGACCAAGUCCCCCGAGGAGCUGCUCCAAGCAAGACAGCACGCAUGGCGUUAUCAAGCUCACCGCAUCGAGAUGGCUCGUCGACGGGACUUUGCUCAAGCGAUGCAAAUCUACGGAUGA